CCCAUUUUUUUUUCCUUUUUCUUUUUUCUUAUGGGAUUCUUGGCAUGUGAAGUGAUGAGAGGGUCACUCACAGGUGGAGGCUCCUGCAUCCCCUGUUUUGGUCACUUUUUUGGCACUUUAUAACAUUCAAUCAAAUUUUCUAGGAAAAAAAAAAAGAAAAAGAAAUAAAAGAAAAUUUUGAUGAAAUGGAAGGGUUAAAUUGAACAAGUAUGAUUUGAGUCGCAAAAUAUGGUACCCUUUUUCUUUAGAUCAGUCACAACUGACACUUGAAUCUCUACAAUCAAUCUAUUUUAUAAGAAAUAUCAUUUUUCUGUUGGCCUCCGGUGAUUUUUAAAAUAUCGAAGGCUCCUUGAAAAUUGAGAGGGGAGAUCUUCAGGUUCAAAUUGAAUGUUAUCGAGAUCUCCUCUACUUAGGCUUGUGUCGUUGGAGUUGGGGUGCCAUGAAAGUUAAUGAUUUGGCUUUUUUAUUCAAAAGAAUUAAAUGUUUGCUUUGUGAAUACAUUCUAGAUCUUAUUCAACCCCAUCUUCUACGUUUCUAUGGAUUAAUGUCUUUCCUCUAUGGCCUGAUGCUACUAAUAAAAUAUGGUUUACUUGAAUAGUCUCCGUGGAUUUAGGUUCGGAAAAUCUUUAUGUUUUGAUCUAUUACUUUGGAUCUUCUUAUCAAUACAUUCUGCUUACAUAUUAUGUUAUUGUUUUUUCUUAUUUGUAGCAAAAAAAAAUAAAAAUUCUCCUGUCGAAGCAUUCUCAGAGUAGAUAUUGAUGCUGUUUAGAUUUUGAUUCUCAAAUUGUGGCUUCUGUCUUCUGCAGUUACGGUCAGGCAAUCAAGGUAAACUGGGCAUAUGCCAGUGGCCAGAGGGAGGUUACUUCAGGUUACUAUUUGCUUCCAUACUUGUUUCCUUUCUCUUUUACUGUUCUUUAUUUGUUGUUUCUGUUGGCACACCAUGGUGCUUCUCUCUACUAAUCAUUCUUGAUGUUGUUUUCAUGUGUUUCAGGCCACUUCAACAUCUUUGUUGGCAACCUAAGUCCUGAAGUCACUGAUGGGACUCUGUUUGCAUGCUUUUCAGUGUAUACCAGCUGUUCAGAUGCAUGGGUUAUGUGGGAUCAUAAAACUGGGUGCUCAAGAGGAUUUGGCUUUGUUUCUUUCCGUAAGCAGCAGAUGGAGGAGGUCAAGAGAAUGUAAGUGCCGAGGCCCCUGAAAACAACCCUGCAUUUUCAACCGUCUAUGUUGGUAAUCUUGCACACGAGGUAAAAUAGAAGAACUGAGACAUUGUGUUGGCUGCAUGGUUUGUACAAUUGA
Molecule: long non-coding RNA, 1296 nt
Organism: Magnolia sinica
Lineage: Eukaryota; Viridiplantae; Streptophyta; Magnoliopsida; Magnoliales; Magnoliaceae
Exons: 4
Source: RefSeq, a predicted model, not a curated record